This 501-nucleotide ribosomal RNA is filed under the name uncultured Glomeromycotina. Its description in RNAcentral is "partial small subunit ribosomal RNA". It matches the Rfam family "Eukaryotic small subunit ribosomal RNA", at positions 591 to 1092 of the family's 1831-position model. The record is from RNAcentral. Lineage: Eukaryota; Fungi; Glomeromycota.
CCAAUAGCGUAUAUUAAAGUUGUUGCAGUUAAAAAGCUCGUAGUUGAAUUUCGGGGUUAGUAGGCUGGUCAUGCCUCUGGUAUGUACUGGUCUCACUGAUUCCUCCUUCCUGAUGAACCGUAAUGCCAUUAAUUUGGUGUUGCGGGGAAUUUGGACUGUUACUUUGAAAAAAUUAGAGUGUUUAAAGCAGGCUCACGCUUGAAUACAUUAGCAUGGAAUAAUGAAAUAGGACGGCAUGGUUCUAUUUUGUUGGUUUCUAGGAUCACCGUAAUGAUUAAUAGGGAUAGUUGGGGGCAUUAGUAUUCAAUUGUCAGAGGUGAAAUUCUUGGAUUUAUUGAAGACUAACUACUGCGAAAGCAUUUGCCAAGGAUGUUUUCAUUAAUCAAGAACGAAAGUUAGGGGAUCGAAGACGAUCAGAUACCGUCGUAGUCUUAACCAUAAACUAUGCCGACUAGGAAUCAGACGAUGUUAAUUUUUUAAUGACUCGUUUGGCACCUUACG